AUUGAACGCUGGCGGAAUGCUUUACACAUGCAAGUCGAACGGUAGAGGGGGCAACCCCUCGAGAGUGGCGAACGGGUGAGUAAUAUAUCGGAACGUGCCCAGUCGUGGGGGAUAACGUAGCGAAAGUUACGCUAAUACCGCAUACGAUCUAAGGAUGGAAGCGGGGGAUCGCAAGACCUCGCGCGAUUGGAGCGGCCGAUAUCAGAUUAGGUAGUUGGUGGGGUAAAGGCUCACCAAGCCAACGAGAUGUAGCUGGUCUGCGAGGACGACCAGCCACACUGGAACUGAGACACGGUCCAGACUCCUCCGGGAGCCAGCAGUGGGGAAUUUUGGACAAUGGACGCAAGUCUGAUCCAGCCAUUCCGCGUGCAGGAUGAAGGCCCUCGGGUUGUAAACUGCUUUUGUACGGAACGAAAAGGUCUCUCUUAAUACGGGGGACUCAUGACGGUACCGUAAGAAUAAGCACCGGCUAACUACGUGCCAGCCGCCGCGGUAA
This 496-nucleotide ribosomal RNA is filed under the name uncultured bacterium. Its description in RNAcentral is "partial 16S ribosomal RNA". It matches the Rfam family "Bacterial small subunit ribosomal RNA", at positions 30 to 523 of the family's 1533-position model. The record is from RNAcentral.